GGUCAUUACAGAGUUAUAAAACUCCAACCCAUGUGACUUACCUAUGUUGCCUCGGCGGAGCCUACCCGGUACCUACCCUGUAACGCUCCGCCGGUGGACCUUUAAACUCUUGUUAUUUUAUAGUAAUCUGAGCGUCUUAUUUUAAUAAGUCAAAACUUUCAACAACGGAUCUCUUGGUUCUGGCAUCGAUGAAGAACGCAGCGAAAUGCGAUACGUAAUGUGAAUUGCAGAAUUCAGUGAAUCAUCGAAUCUUUGAACGCACAUUGCGCCCAUUAGUAUUCUAGUGGGCAUGCCUGUUCGAGCGUCAUUUCAACCCUUAAGCCUAGCUUAGUAUUGGGAAUUUACUGUAUUGUAAUUCCUCAAAUCCAACGGCGGAUCUGUGGUAUCCUCUGAGCGUAGUAAUUUUUUAUCUCGCUUUGGUAAGGUGCUGCAGCUCUCAGCCGCUAAACCCCCCAAUUUUUAAUGGUUGACCUCGGAUCAGGUAGGAAUACCCGCUGAACUUAAGCAUAUC
RNAcentral lists this ribosomal RNA (511 nucleotides) under Immersidiscosia eucalypti. RNAcentral's name for it is "eukaryotic LSU rRNA". The stretch from base 154 to 307 matches the Rfam family "5.8S ribosomal RNA". Lineage: Eukaryota; Fungi; Ascomycota; Sordariomycetes; Amphisphaeriales; Sporocadaceae. The record is from RNAcentral.